Hemiscyllium ocellatum (epaulette shark) is the source of this 298-nucleotide long non-coding RNA. RefSeq lists it as uncharacterized. The transcript is spliced from 3 exons. The record is from RefSeq and is a predicted model, not a curated record. NCBI's taxonomy places the organism in Eukaryota, Metazoa, Chordata, Chondrichthyes, Orectolobiformes, Hemiscylliidae.
AGGUUUGUUUGAAACAGACCGCAAUGGAGAGAUCAGCGCCCAGGGAAGUGAGGGAACAGCAGGCUCCUUCCAGCAGCACAUCGGGAUGGGAGCCUGGGACACAGAGGGGGCUCCGAGACCGGGAUUGAUUCGGGACAAAUACUUGAGGGACUAAGAUGCUGUAAUACUUCCUCAGUUCAAAGGGAAGUGUGACCAGCUGCCUCAAACAAACAGCAGGCAAGGACCCAAAGGACCAAGACAAUGUAAUACCAAGUAUACAGAACCAAGUGUGACCAGCUGCUUCGAACAAACAGCAGGU